GUAAGUCCUCUAGUGUGCACAGGGAGAUUUCUUUGUCCUUGCUCAUUUGAGAAGAUCCAUGAGGUAGAUCUUCAUUUGUUGCAUGCAACUGAGUUUAGGACACGGACUAAGUGGGACUAGAAACAGAAGUUUUGGUUUUUGGUUUUGGUUUCUUUGUUCUAGCUUACAUUAGCUGGCUGAGGGUUUUUUAGGAAAGCAUGCUUCUUUGGUGUUUGGUUGCUAUUUGUCUGUUUGUCAAAGGUGUUAAUAUGGGAGGUGCCGCAUCUAUUCCAACUAAGAGCCUCUUGGGGAAGAUUUUGGCUGAUUGACCUACUGUUAUAAGCCAAUGACUAAGAAACAAAUCAUAUUUUAUUGUAACACUGCCUUGCCAAUGUAUGUCUUAGAAAGUGAAGGAAGAUGGCCAUUGAAGGGAACUUUAAAUUAUUAGACUAUUUCGUACUUGGAGUUAUUUUGUGAGAGAUCUGGGAAAUGGGAUGAGAUUCCAUAAGUGCAGGAUUUUAUGCAAUUGCACAAUCAGGAAGGUGAUCAGCUAGGAACCAAACUGAUGGUCCAAAGAAAAGCCAAGCCUCCCAUGGUCAAAGAUGCUCAGACACUGGAAGAAAACCUUGAUGAGGACAUGGCUGCCUUAAGUGUGUUCAAUCCUUUUGAUCCUAAUUUCAGUGUAGCACAGCUGCUGAUAGCAAGUGCUCCCAACACCCCGCAGCAAUCCCAGGCAAUGGGAAGUGGAAGGGAACCCCGCAGCAAUAGCCCCCUUUGUCUCCACCCUUACUGAAUGAAGAGGCAGUGGGGUGGGCUGAACCCCCCAAGGAUCCCCCUAGGUAUGAGUCAGGAGCAGGAAUCCUCUCCCCUUUAAGGACCCGACAAGGUACUGUUUUCUGCCAGGGAUCCUCUGGGAUGGGGACAGGGCAAUUCCCUCUGUGCCAGUUGCCUGUAGGAACAAAUGGCCAGGGGCAAUUGGCUGUCUACUAUUGGAUGUAUACCCUUUUUUCAACUUCUGAUUUGCUGAAUUGGAAAAGCCAAGACCUGUCCUACUGGAAGAACCAACAAAAGAUGACAGAUGUGUUUACAGUCAUUUUCUCUAUCCACUGCCCUACUUUGGUAGGUGUUCAGUCCUUGUUGAGCACAAUGCUUAUGGGCAAGAAGCAGUGCCUUGUGGUAAUAAAAAUUAAAGCAAAAGCUCAGCAUUUACAUGAUGUGGAUCCCAAUCAGAUUCCCACUCCUGUGUGGCCAUAGCCCAAGUAGAGCCUAAUUGGGACCCAAACACAGAUGUGAGGAAUGCAUUAUUGAGCCAUUACCAGAGGUGCAUCCUGGCUGGAUGUAAAAAAGGAGUUCUCAAAGGAGCUUAAAUAAGGUUCAGGAACUACAGCAAGAACUGGGAGAAAAUCCUGUGGUGUUCUUAGAAUGCAUAUAUCAGGCAUAUAGAAAAUAUACUGACUCAGAUCCAGAAGCCCCCCAAAACCUCCAAAUGGUCAACAUGACCUUUAUUGGACAGAGAGUCCCAGACAUGAGAAGGAAGCUCAAUAAGGUUGAAGGGGCCAUAGCCAUGAGUUCUAGCCAAUUGGUAGCAACUGCUUUCAAAGUCUAUAACGUUCAAGAGGAACACAAAGCCAAGUCAGUCAAGUUGUUUUACACUGCUCCUCCAGACAGAAGGAAAAGAAAAUGGAGUCCAAGGCCUGGGAAAAAGGGACACCAAAAAUUGGAGAAAAAUCAAUGCACCUAUUGCAAAGAAGAGGGGCAAUGGAAAAAUGAGUGCCGUAAGCUAGAAAAAGGCACCAAAGAGGGAAAGCAGGGUCCCACGAAGAAGCUCAUGACCUCCCAAGUUUGAGACUCAGAGGAGGAAGAUGAUGAUUGAUGGGUCCUGGGGUUCCUUGCCAUGCUUGCUGCUCCCAUUUCAAUAGUCCUCCACGAACCCCGGGUACAAAUAACAGUGGGGACCAAAGUGGUUGACUUUCUAGUGGAUACUGGUGCCACUUAUUCAGUGUUAAACUGCAAAUUGACGUCACUGAGUAAUUCCCCAGUUGCCAUUGUUGGAGUCACUGGUGAAACUCAACAGAGACCCACGCUGCAAUGGCUGGAAUGCAAAUUGGGAGAACAAAAGCUGAAACAUAGCUUUUUCUAUAUACUAGACUGUCCCAUCACCCUUUUUGGACAAGAUUUGCUUUGCAUAUUGAAUGCUCAAUCUUCUCACCCAAGAAGCAGCAGCUCCACCUCCAAGGGCCACUGGAAAAUGCACUCAGACUCCAGGCCUUCCUGGAAAGAACAGAAGAAGGGGAACACCUAACACUGCCCGAGAUCUACCAGCAAGUUUGGACUGCCAUCCAGUGUCCAGAGUGAUAAUGGACUUGUCUUUGUAGCUGAAGUUAUACAACAAGUUGCCUCCCCACCUUGAAACUUCACUGAAUCCAUUCCAAGCAGGAGAUAAGGUGCUUCUGAAGGUGUGGAAGGAAAAAGGACCAGAACAACAACUUGAAGAAAAGUUGAAAGGAUCCUAGGAUGUGUUAUUAACCACCCAUACAUCCUUUAAGUUGACAGAUAUAAGACUGUGGGUGCACCACACUAGAGUAAAGAAGUGCCAGACGAUUUCUAGUCACAGGCACCUUCUCCUGAUAAGUGGGAAAGCAGACCAUUGGAGGGUUUUAAGCUGCUCUUCAAAAAACAGCCAUGAGAUACAUCACAUUGCUAAUUCAUCUGUAUUCCUUACAUUUUCCAGUUAUUGCCUGACUGGACAACUCCCAACUCCCUGGUAUGCAUUGCACAAACCAUUGCUAAUGCAAUGCAAGAUGUGGACUGCUGGAUUUGUCUUCCUUGAGCUCAGUCCACUCCGGGUCAUGGGGACCCCCUGGUGCAUCCUGUAUCAGACUUUACCCAAGUCCCUGAUGGGGACUGGGUCCCUAAGUGAGACCUUCGGGCUCGCAACCUUAUGUACCACAUAUGCAUCAGUCACUUCCCUCAUGAGAACUUUUCUAAAAUUGCCUGUCUUAUGCUUCCUCUCUCCACCAGUACUGUUCUAUAUUGGAUCCAGGGCACCCAGUAGAUACCUGAAUACUUUGAAAUGACUUUGCCUCCACCCUCAAGGCAACUCCCUAUGUGUGUUCAGCAGUCCACCAGAUACCCAGUGGAAGAAAUUAAAUCCAUGGUUGACUAUUCAUUUCUGGAGAGAUCCUGGAUGGAAUGAACUGGAUUCAAAGUUGGUUACUAUUUCUAGACUAAUAGCUCUGUCAGCUACUACACUCACAAUGAAGGUGAAAGACUUAAGAGUAACCCCAGUUCCUGGAAGUCUGGAUAUACAACUAAGGGGUAGAGUUCUUGUGUCCUGCAGCUGGCUGGCAAUAAAGAAGAAAAACCUCUGCAUCAGCAGAAAAGCUUCCUGGCACCAGAAUCCACUAUCCACCAGGGAGGAAGACAAUCAAGGACAUCUAACCUGUGGAUUCCCUUAUGUCACCAUCCUCCUCCCUGCAAACAGUCUCACAAAGCCAAACGCAGGCUGGUGGGAAAGCGCCGACCAGCAAGGCCACAGGCUCCCCCUCCCUAUAAGCAGCCAUAUUCCUCACAACCUUUAAAACCCCUUAUCCACUUCUUAAUGGGGUGCCAGCAGUUCCUAAGGCACUAUCCUGCUGCUGCUCCCUUUGCCUAGCAAAAAAAAAAGUAAGCUUUUUUUUCUUUUCAUUUUCACCCAAAACUCUGUUCUCGUUAUUUGGAUUGGUACUGAGUUCAGAGACCGAACUUUCGGUAACAUAACUAGAAAGCUCAGGAGAAGCAUAAGUCCUGUAGAGGAUAACAGCACUAUAAUUACAAUUUUCAUUGGAGACCUGAUCUAGCUAUUUCAUUCUAAACUUCUGAUUCCAACUAGAAGAUAAAUCUUAAGUGGGCAAUAGAAACUUCUGGGCCAUACAUGAUGUCAUUCACUUCUCCAAAUAUA
Molecule: long non-coding RNA, 3919 nt
Filed under: Equus caballus (horse)
Lineage: Eukaryota; Metazoa; Chordata; Mammalia; Perissodactyla; Equidae
Description: lncRNA (ENSECAG00000055311.1)
Source: RNAcentral